RNAcentral lists this ribosomal RNA (990 nucleotides) under Macrococcoides caseolyticum. RNAcentral's name for it is "bacterial SSU rRNA". It matches the Rfam family "Bacterial small subunit ribosomal RNA", at positions 37 to 1010 of the family's 1533-position model. The record is from RNAcentral. Lineage: Bacteria; Bacillati; Bacillota; Bacilli; Caryophanales; Staphylococcaceae.
GGGCAUGGGGGUGCUAUACAUGCAAGUCGAGCGAACGGACGAGAGUGCUUGCACUCUCUGAUGUUAGCGGCGGACGGGUGAGUAACACGUGGGUAACCUACCUAUAAGACUGGGAUAACUUCGGGAAACCGGAGCUAAUACCGGAUAAUAUUUAGCUUCGCAUGAAGCAAUAGUGAAAGACGGUUCUGCUGUCACUUAUAGAUGGACCCGCGGUGUAUUAGCUAGUUGGUGAGGUAACGGCUCACCAAGGCAACGAUACAUAGCCGACCUGAGAGGGUGAUCGGCCACACUGGGACUGAGACACGGCCCAGACUCCUACGGGAGGCAGCAGUAGGGAAUCUUCCGCAAUGGACGAAAGUCUGACGGAGCAACGCCGCGUGAGUGAAGAAGGUUUUCGGAUCGUAAAACUCUGUUGUAAGGGAAGAACAAGUACGUUAGUAACUGAACGUACCUUGACGGUACCUUACCAGAAAGCCACGGCUAACUACGUGCCAGCAGCCGCGGUAAUACGUAGGUGGCAAGCGUUAUCCGGAAUUAUUGGGCGUAAAGCGCGCGUAGGCGGUCUCUUAAGUCUGAUGUGAAAGCCCCCGGCUCAACCGGGGAGGGUCAUUGGAAACUGGGAGACUUGAGUGCAGAAGAGGAGAGUGGAAUUCCAUGUGUAGCGGUGAAAUGCGCAGAGAUAUGGAGGAACACCAGUGGCGAAGGCGGCUCUCUGGUCUGUAACUGACGCUGAGGUGCGAAAGCGUGGGGAUCAAACAGGAUUAGAUACCCUGGUAGUCCACGCCGUAAACGAUGAGUGCUAAGUGUUGGGGGGUUUCCGCCCCUCAGUGCUGCAGCUAACGCAUUAAGCACUCCGCCUGGGGAGUACGGUCGCAAGACUGAAACUCAAAGGAAUUGACGGGGACCCGCACAGCGGUGGAGCAUGUGGUUAAUUCGAAGCACGCGAAGACCUUACCAAUCUUGACUCCUUUGACACUCUAGAGAAAAGUU